CCAAUAGCGUAUAUUAAAGUUGUUGCAGUUAAAAAGCUCGUAGUUGAAUUUCGGGAUCAGACUGUCGGUCGUGCCUCGGUACGCACUGGCAUUAUUGGUUCCUACCUUCUGAAGAACCGCGAUGUCAUUAAUUUGGUGUCGCGGGGAAUCAGGACUGUUACUUUGAAAAAAUUAGAGUGUUUAAAGCAGGCUUACGCUUGAAUACAUUAGCAUGGAAUAAUGAAAUAGGACGUUUGAUUCUAUUUUGUUGGUUUCUAGGAUCGACGUAAUGAUUAAUAGGGAUAGUUGGGGGCAUUAGUAUUCAAUUGUCAGAUGUGAAAUUCUUGGAUUUAUUGAAGACUAACUACUGCGAAAGCAUUUGCCAAGGAUGUUUUCAUUAAUCAAGAACGAAAGUUAGGGGAUCGAAGACGAUCAGAUACCGUUGUAGUCUUAACCAUAAACUAUGCCGACUAGGGAUCGGAUGAUGUUUAUUUUUUAAUGACUCAUUUGGCACCUUACG
This 499-nucleotide ribosomal RNA is filed under the name uncultured Glomeromycotina. Its description in RNAcentral is "partial small subunit ribosomal RNA". It matches the Rfam family "Eukaryotic small subunit ribosomal RNA", at positions 591 to 1092 of the family's 1831-position model. The record is from RNAcentral. Lineage: Eukaryota; Fungi; Glomeromycota.